UGGGGAAUAUUGGACAAUGGGCGAAAGCCUGAUCCAGCCAUGCCGCGUGUGUGAAGAAGGUCUUCGGAUUGUAAAGCACUUUAAGUUGGGAGGAAGGGCAGUUACCUAAUACGUGAUUGUUUUGACGUUACCGACAGAAUAAGCACCGGCUAACUCUGUGCCAGCAGCCGCGGUAAUACAGAGGGUGCAAGCGUUAAUCGGAAUUACUGGGCGUAAAGCGCGCGUAGGUGGUUUGUUAAGUUGGAUGUGAAAUCCCCGGGCUCAACCUGGGAACUGCAUUCAAAACUGACUGACUAGAGUAUGGUAGAGGGUGGUGGAAUUUCCUGUGUAGCGGUGAAAUGCGUAGAUAUAGGAAGGAACACCAGUGGCGAAGGCGACCACCUGGACUGAUACUGACACUGAGGUGCGAAAGCGUGGGGAGCAAACAGGAUUAGAUACCCAUGUAGUCCCUGAGCGGGCUGGCAAGGCGC
This 470-nucleotide ribosomal RNA is filed under the name uncultured bacterium. RNAcentral describes it as "bacterial SSU rRNA". It matches the Rfam family "Bacterial small subunit ribosomal RNA", at positions 355 to 823 of the family's 1533-position model. The record is from RNAcentral.